This 497-nucleotide ribosomal RNA is filed under the name uncultured bacterium. Its description in RNAcentral is "partial 16S ribosomal RNA". It matches the Rfam family "Bacterial small subunit ribosomal RNA", at positions 28 to 507 of the family's 1533-position model. The record is from RNAcentral.
GAUGAACGCUGGCGGCGUGCCUAAUACAUGCAAGUCGAGCGAACAGACGAGGAGCUUGCUCCUCUGACGUUAGCGGCGGACGGGUGAGUAACACGUGGAUAACCUACCUAUAAGACUGGGAUAACUUCGGGAAACCGGAGCUAAUACCGGAUAAUAUAUUGAACCGCAUGGUUCAAUAGUGAAAGACGGUUUUGCUGUCACUUAUAGAUGGAUCCGCGCCGCAUUAGCUAGUUGGUAAGGUAACGGCUUACCAAGGCAACGAUGCGUAGCCGACCUGAGAGGGUGAUCGGCCACACUGGAACUGAGACACGGUCCAGACUCCUACGGGGGGCAGCAGUAGGGAAUCUUCCGCAAUGGGCGAAAGCCUGACGGAGCAACGCCGCGUGAGUGAUGAAGGUCGUCGGAUCGUAAAACUCUGUUAUUAGGGAAGAACAAAUGUGUAAGUAACUAUGCACGUCUUGACGGUACCUAAUCAGAAAGCCACGGCUAACUACGUG